RNAcentral lists this long non-coding RNA (2034 nucleotides) under Nicotiana tabacum (common tobacco). Its description in RNAcentral is "long non-coding RNA (NTAB_LNC004181)". Lineage: Eukaryota; Viridiplantae; Streptophyta; Magnoliopsida; Solanales; Solanaceae. The record is from RNAcentral.
GGGAGCUUCUCCGGCAGCUACACCAAAGGCAUCACCAGUUGCACCAGUAGCAUCACCUCCAACUGCUGUUGUUACACCUGUAUCCGCUCCAUCACAAUCUCCUACUACUGCCGCAUCUCCUUCUGAAUCUCCAUUGGCAUCUCCACCAGCUCCACCAACUGCUGACACUCCAGCAUUUGCUCCCUCCGGCGGCGUUGCUCUUCCUCCAUCCAUCGGCGCUGCUCCCGCCGGUUCUCCAACCUCGUCUCCUAACGUUGCCUCCUUGAACAGAGUCACCGUCGCCGGAUCUGCCGUUGUAGCGAUCUUCGCUGCAUCUUUGAUGUUUUAGAUCUGAGGAGAGUUUGCAUUUUGGAUUUUCACGAGAUGUUUAUUAUUUUAGGAUUUAUUUAGUUCAUCUUACUCGUUGAUGUUUAUUCGUUUUGUUUUACUUUUACCCGUGGGCGGUGGUGACUGCGUACAUGCUAUUGAUUUGAUUUUUACUCUGGUUAUUGUUUAUUGUUACUACCACUAUUAUUAUUAUGGAUUCUUUGUUUAUUUAUGAAGCACUAUGAUUUACUCUUAUAUGCAAUCUCUUUAUGUUCUUUAAUUAAUUUAUUUAUUUCCAUAAAAACUUUACAGUGUUAAUUAAGCUUAUUAUUAACAAAUUAAGCUUCUUAACAAGAUUGUAAAAAUCGAAAGCAGUAGGAAGUUGCGGAGUUGAGAUUAGGGAGAGGUGGAGAAUGUCGUCUAGUAACGUGUUGAAGAAGUGGACUAUUUGAGGAAAGAGUUAGGAGUUUGAGUUGGAAAAUAGUUUAAGAAUUGUACGUCACGUGGUUUGACAGCUGUUUUAAGAACCUAUUUUGGUUAUAGAAAGAAGUCCAUGUGCUUUCGGUUACAGAAGGCCAUGUGCUUUUGGGGGCUAGAGUUGGAAUCACGUUAUACCUAGGAGUGUAAACCCUAGUUCUUUAGAAUUGAUGUUUUAGUUUUUUCUUUUGUUUUUGCCAAAUGCCAGACCGUGAACUACGGUGGAUGAGACAUAGAGGACUUUGAGUAGGAAAGUGGUCCCAAGUCUAACAUGAUACUGAUGAUAUUAGUUUAGAGAGAAAAUCAUUUACAACUUCAAAUUUUGCUUUAGAAAAUUAAACGCUCAUUCAAAUUUUAAAUAAUAGACACUCUCCCCUCAUAUGUCAAUUCUCUUUUUCAAAUGUACCCUUACACAUCUUUUUUUAAUUUAUGUAAUAUACUUCUGAAAAAAAUAAAUAUUAUUUCCGAGGGAAAAAAUGUGAAAAAUAGUAAGUUAGUAUAUAGGCUAGUGAAGUUCUAUAAUGAAAUGAAUGAGUAGAUGAAAAAAUUAUUUUAUUAACAUCAAUCAAAACUCUAAUAUCCAUUUUAAAAAUUUAAAUAUUUCAAUGCAGGUACUACAAAAAUAAUUAAUAAAAAUAGACCAAAGCAACAAAGCAAUUAAAAAUCAAAGCAACAACAACGAGAUAUUAAAAAGACCAAAGCAAAAGAUAAAAAUCAAACAAUAAUUAGUAAUUAUAACAAUCUAAGAAUCAAAGUAUAUUAUACUAACACUAAUACUACCGAUAUGGGGACAAAAAGGAGAAUCGCUCGACUACCUACUAACCUUCUACCGUAAUCCUUGACCUCCACACCCUUCUAUUAAAGGUCAUGUUCUCGGAAAGCUAAAGUUGCGUCAUGUGCUGCCCAAUCACAUCUCCCCAAUACUUCUUAGGCCUACCUCUACCGUAUCUCCUACCCACUAAGGUCAACCUUUCACACCUCCUAAUUGGGGCAUCUACGCUUCUCCUCUCCACAUGCCCGAACCAUCUCUACCUUGCCUUCUGGAUCUUAUCCUCCACAUAGGCCGCUUUUGCUUUUCCCGAAUAUCUUUAUUCCUAAUCUAUUUAACCUGGUAUGCUGCACAUCCAUCCCAACAUCCUCAUUUCAGCUACUUUCAUCUUCUAGAUAUGAGAGAUCUUGACUAACCAACACUUUAUCCCUUACAACAUAGUCGGUCUAAUCACUACUUUUUAAAACUUACCUUUGAGUUUU